UCGGAAUUACUGGGCGUAAAGCGCAUGCAGGUGGUUUGUUAAGUUCAGAUGUGAAAGACCCGGGGCGUUAACCUCGGAAUAGCAUUUGAAACUAGGCAGACUAGAGUACUGUAGAGGGGGGUAGGAAUUUCAGGUGUAGCGGUGAAAUAGCGUAGAGAUCUGAAGGAAUACCGGUGGCGAAGGCGGCCCCCUCGGACAGAUACUGACACUCAGAUGCGAAAGCGUGGGGAGCAAACAGGAUUAGAUACCCUGGUAG
RNAcentral lists this ribosomal RNA (256 nucleotides) under uncultured bacterium. RNAcentral's name for it is "partial 16S ribosomal RNA". It matches the Rfam family "Bacterial small subunit ribosomal RNA", at positions 545 to 793 of the family's 1533-position model. The record is from RNAcentral.